GAUGAACGCUGGCGGCGUGCCUAAUACAUGCAAGUCGAGCGAACAGACGAGGAGCUUGCUCCUCUGACGUUAGCGGCGGACGGGUGAGUAACACGUGGAUAACCUACCUAUAAGACUGGGAUAACUUCGGGAAACCGGAGCUAAUACCGGAUAAUAUAUUUAACCGCAUGGUUCAAUAGUGAAAGACGGUUUUGCUGUCACUUAUAGAUGGAUCCGCGCCGCAUUAGCUAGUUGGUAAGGUAACGGCUUACCAAGGCAACGAUGCGUAGCCGACCGGAGAGGGUGAUCGGCCACACUGGAACUGAGACACGGUCCAGACUCCUACGGGAGGCAGCAGUAGGGAAUCUUCCGCAAUGGGCGAAAGCCUGACGGAGCAACGCCGCGUGAGUGAUGAAGGUCUUCGGAUCGUAAAACUCUGUUAUUAGGGAAGAACAAAUGUGUAAGUAACUAUGCACGUCUUGACGGUACCUAAUCAGAAAGCCACGGCUAACUACGUG
RNAcentral lists this ribosomal RNA (497 nucleotides) under uncultured bacterium. Its description in RNAcentral is "partial 16S ribosomal RNA". It matches the Rfam family "Bacterial small subunit ribosomal RNA", at positions 28 to 507 of the family's 1533-position model. The record is from RNAcentral.